Molecule: long non-coding RNA, 610 nt
Organism: Nothoprocta perdicaria
Lineage: Eukaryota; Metazoa; Chordata; Aves; Tinamiformes; Tinamidae
Exons: 2
Source: RefSeq, a predicted model, not a curated record
ACCAUUAUCCACUUCUCUCUUUCUUCCUGUUUUGUAGGUGGGACUCCCCCCAUCUCAUAUCCUUUGUUUCUAAUGGAAGUUCCCAUCCUGAGAAACCAUGAAUGCAGUUUGGUUUUGUUGCACUCACCUUUAGGAGCAUGAGACUAGGAUUUUUUCUGCAGAACACAAGAUGAAAAACUUGCUAUCAAGGCCUGAGGAACAGCUGUGGUGCUUCUCUCUGGCAUGUUUUCUGAGAAGGUCCUGAAUUGUAACUUAAAAAUUAGCAGAGAGAGCAUUUUAGAGGUAAUGCUUCCAGAAAGAGCAAAUGGGUGGAAAAGCACUGGAAUUGAGAUGCUUGGAAAACCCUUUUGCCAUAAUGACUGCUGCCAUAGUGACUCUAUUCAAGUACCAGGCUAUUUGGCUAAAACUAAGAAUUUGGUUAAAACUGGUGUAUUUUUUUUCCAUGUUUUUCUAUUUAUUUUCUAUUUCUCUGGGUGUAUUUCUCCUUUAGAACACUGUGAAAAUUACAGGCCUGCUACUUGGCCAAGGAAAGAAAUUUCAGGUCUGUCAGUUUGCCUUUUGUUGCAGGUAAGAUGGGCAGAACUGUACACAGUGGUGGUUCUUAUUCCUC